GACGAACGCUGGCGGCGUGCUUAACACAUGCAAGUCGAGCGGUAAGGCCCUUUCGGGGGUACACGAGCGGCGAACGGGUGAGUAACACGUGGGUGACCUGCCCUCAGCUCUGGGGAUAAGCCUGGGAAACCGGGUCUAAUACCGGAUAUGACUCCAUGACGCAUGUUGUGGGGUGGAAAGCCUUGUGCGGCUGAGGAUGGGCCCGCGGCCUAUCAGCUUGUUGGUGGGGUGAUGGCCUACCAAGGCGACGACGGGUAGCCGGCCUGAGAGGGCGACCGGCCACACUGGGACUGAGACACGGGCCCAGACUCCUACGGGAGGCAGCAGGUGGGGAAUCUUGCGCAAUGGGCGAAAGCCUGACGCAGCGACGCCGCGUGAGGGAUGACGGCCUGGUGUAC
This 398-nucleotide ribosomal RNA is filed under the name uncultured bacterium. RNAcentral's name for it is "bacterial SSU rRNA". It matches the Rfam family "Bacterial small subunit ribosomal RNA", at positions 28 to 424 of the family's 1533-position model. The record is from RNAcentral.